Molecule: long non-coding RNA, 1564 nt
Organism: Helianthus annuus (common sunflower)
Lineage: Eukaryota; Viridiplantae; Streptophyta; Magnoliopsida; Asterales; Asteraceae
Exons: 5
Source: RefSeq, a predicted model, not a curated record
GCUUACCACACGAUUUUGUUGAAAAAAGAGGUGGUAUGUUUGAUGUUUCAGGUGAGGGGAUUUGGACUCCUAGCAUCUUAUGUGAUUAAGGACUUGUAAUUUCACAACACUCUUAAGGACCUGAGAGAUUCUAGGUGAAACGAAAACCCGACACAUAUGAUUUUAAGGUUGGAGAAUUCUUGAAGAGGUUCAAGUCCAUCCCCAGCAUUAUUGAGCUUGAUAGCUUGAAGGUUUUUGGUGAUGUGUGGUUUGGAUCUAAUGUUGUUCUCAAGGGUAAAGUGCUGGUUGCUGCAAAUUCUGGAGAGAAGUUGGAAAUUCCGGAUGGAGCUGUACUUCAAAACAGUUUUUUUGUGGAGUAAAAAGUGGUUUCAACCACUGUUGGGUCAAAACGGUGGUCUGAAACCACUGUUGGGUUAAAACGGUGGUUGAAACCACUGUUGGGUUAAAACUGUGGUUUGAAACCACUGUUGGGUUAAACAACCACUGUUGGGUUCGAAUCCAAUCUUUUAAUGGAGUUUCAUUCUCACACACACCUCAAAACCUAGGUUUAUUGAAUCCAUAUCAUCCGAUUAUUAAUCAUCAUUUUGAUUCAUGUUAAUCUGAAUUCGCAUUUCGUUUCGAUCAGUGGUGCUUUGUUCGAUUUGAUGCCAGUAGAUGUUUUUUUCAAUGUUUUUAUGUCAUAUACUGAUAUUAUUCAAUUUGAAUAUAAUGUAUGUAUUAAUCAUUAUAUAUUUCAAAUUUUGAAGUGUUUAUGUGUAAUAUUUCAUCUAGCGUACACAUUAUUUUAGCAUACAGAUUGUUUAAUCGAACAAUAUGUAGUGUAUUGAUCAGUUUCAGAGAGGGAUAGAUAAUCGCAUAAUAUGUAGUGUAUUGACCAGUUUCAGAGAGAGAUCGAACAGAUUUGAUCUCCAGAGAAAGAUAGAACAUAUUUGAUCACCGGUGAAGGACCUUCGACCGACGACUGUUUAAGAGCUACAUCAGUUAAAAAAAGCAAGAUUUCAAAAGUGAUGCUAUAGUUGCAACCUAUUACUUGGUGAGAACAUAUACAUUUACAUGGCAGAUGGUAUAUCAAGCUUUUGGGGGCAGGUCACAUCGUCCCAUGAAUGGUGUGAGAAGAACUAUGUGGUUUCUUCAUACGUUGCUGAGUUUUAUAAACUCAUUUCAGUUGGAAUUUCAGGUUUUUUGAGUUGGGUUCCAAUAAUGAACAUCCCUAAUUUGAUAAAUGGUGUUGUUUAACAGGGUUAGGAGCAUACAAGUAGAGAGAAGGUGAACAAUGUCGUCGAUGAAUGAACAAAGUCUUGAGAAAAGCCAGCCAACUGAGAGAUUUUCAAGCCUAUGUAUGAAGCAAUAGAGAUGAGUAUCCGCAGGGAAAAAGGUUAUCCAAUAGAGAUGAGUAUCCAAUAAAAUGUUAGUAUGAAGAGGUUAUCCAAUUAUAAGAAAUCAUAUAUAUAAAAUUCUUUUGUAAAUAUAAAUUUUUAUAAAACAACCCAUAACCCGUGAAGCUCACGGGUAUAUAACCUAGUGGUGUUAUAUACUUACUGAAUGGUGUUAUAUACGUGUUGAA